RNAcentral lists this ribosomal RNA (1315 nucleotides) under Triticum aestivum (bread wheat). RNAcentral describes it as "partial small subunit ribosomal RNA". The record is from RNAcentral. Lineage: Eukaryota; Viridiplantae; Streptophyta; Magnoliopsida; Poales; Poaceae.
AGCUCCGUAUAUCCCAAACCAACCACAGCGAAAGCAGUCCGCGACUUGCGAGCAGAGUACACGACGCGACCGCGAACCAAACCCUACCGCGAACACGUCGGCGAUGAGCUCCUCCAACGGCAACGGCGGGAAGAAGCCGGCGCCGUCCGGCGGGCGCGGGGGCAUCCGCACCCUCGCCGACAUCAACCGCGGCCCCUCCGGAUUCCCAGGCGCAGGCGGCAGCGGCAGCGACUCCGAUGAGCCCCAGGAGUACUACACCGGCGGCGAGAAGAGUGGGAUGCUUGUUCAAGAUCCAACAAGGAGAAAUAAUGUGGACUCAAUCUUUGAGCAAGCUAGAGUGAUGGGUGCUCAGCAAGUUCCACUGCCUUCUUUUGAAGGCCAAUCUUCCAGCUCAACCAGCUUUGCAGGAACAGGUCGUCUGCUUUCAGUGGAUGCGCAGACAGCACCAGCUGCUCCUCAACCACCGCAGGAUGUUCUUCACAAUAUACAUUUCUGGAACAAUGGUUUCACAGUAGAUGAUGGUCCACUAAGAGGCUAUGACGACCCUGCAAAUGCAGACUUCAUCGAGAGCAUCAAGAAGUCCCAGUGCCCCCAAGAGCUGGAGCCUGCUGAUCGAAGGACAGCUGUCCACGUCAAUGUUAUAAAACGACAUGGAGAUUAUGAGGAAGCUGCAAGGCCUCGAUCAGCUUUCCAGGGUGUUGGUAGAACCCUUGGUGGAUCUUCAGCAGAUGAGAGUCCUGCACCAGCUCCUGUGACCCAAGAGCCCCGCAGUGCUCCCAGGUCAAUUGGCAUAGUUGUGGACGACUCGCAGCCCUUUACAUCUAUACAGCUAAGGUUGGCGGACGGCACUCGCAUGGUCGCUCGGUUUAACCUUCACCACACCGUGGGCGACAUCAGGUCUUUCAUUGAUGCAUCCCGCCCAGGAGCUGCGCGGCCGUAUCAAUUGCAGACUGGCUUCCCACCCAAGCAGCUGACUGACCCUACGCAGACUGUUGAUCAAGCUGGACUCAAGAACUCCGUUAUCAUGCAGAAGAUGUAGUGCUCUCACCAAGCUGGAUCUGUCGCACAAAAUGUCUUUCCGAUGCAUUAUUAAAUCGGUGCUGCUGAAUGGUUUAUCAUGUCCACUAGAUACUGCACUUUGCAUGCAACCUGUGAUGUACUGGUUGUUUUGUCGAUAAACGUCAGUGGAGUCUAUAUUCGUAUUGCUACCAACUAUGAAUGGCUAUCAAAGUUAAGUUAUAAUGGAUGUCCGGUUGUCUAUCAUCAGAUGGGCUUGCUUGUUCUCAUUUCCUAACCUAAUCGUAAGAAAUUGGAC